UACAGAGGGUGCAAGCGUUAAUCGGAUUUACUGGGCGUAAAGCGUGUGUAGGUGGUUGGAAAAGUCGAUUGUGAAAUCCCUGGGCUCAACCCGGGAACUGCUUUCGAAACUGUCUGACUAGAAUUCGGUAGAGGGAGGCGGAACUCCAGGUGUAGCGGUGAAAUGCGUAGAUAUCUGGAAGAACACCAAUGGCGAAGGCAACCUCCUGGGCCUGAAUUGACACUGAGACACGAAAGCGUGGGGAUCAAACAGG
This 253-nucleotide ribosomal RNA is filed under the name uncultured bacterium. Its description in RNAcentral is "partial 16S ribosomal RNA". It matches the Rfam family "Bacterial small subunit ribosomal RNA", at positions 524 to 776 of the family's 1533-position model. The record is from RNAcentral.